GACGGAGGGGGCAAGCGUUGUCCGGAAUUACUGGGCGUAAAGCGCGCGUAGGCGGUCGUGUACGGCGAUGGUGAAAGCCCCCGGCUCAACUGGGGGAGGCCCGUCGCAACGGCACGACUCGAGGGCGGUAGAGGCUAACGGAAUUCCUGGUGUAGCGGUGAAAUGCGUAGAGAUCAGGAGGAACACCCGUGGCGAAGGCGGUUAGCUGGGCCGUGCCUGACGCUGAGGUGCGAAGGCCAGGGGAG
This 245-nucleotide ribosomal RNA is filed under the name uncultured bacterium. RNAcentral describes it as "partial 16S ribosomal RNA". It matches the Rfam family "Bacterial small subunit ribosomal RNA", at positions 524 to 768 of the family's 1533-position model. The record is from RNAcentral.